AGGCUUAACACAUGCAAGUCGAGGGGUAACAGGGGAGCUUGCUCCCGCUGACGACCGGCGCACGGGUGAGUAACGCGUAUGCAACCUACCUUUAACUGGAGGAUAGCUUCGAGAAAUCGUAAUUAAUACUCCAUAACAUCUACGAGUCGCAUGGCUUGUAGAUUAAAGCUCCGGCGGUUAAAGAUGGGCAUGCGUAUCAUUAGCUUGUUGGUGAGGUAAUAGCUCACCAAGACUACGAUGUCUAGGGGGUCUGAGAGGAUGAUCCCCCACACUGGUACUGAGACACGGACCAGCCUCCUACGGGAGGCAGCAGUGAGGAAUAUUGGUCAAUGGGCGAAAGCCUGAACCAGCCAUCCCGCGCGUAGGAAGACUGCCCUAUGGGUUGUAAACUACUUUUAUAAAGGAAGAAACCCUGUUACGUGUAAGAGGCUGACUGUACUUUACGAAUAAGCACCGGCUAACUCCGUGCCAGCAGCCGCGGUAAUACGGAGGGUGCAAGCGUUAUCCGGAUUUAUUGGGUUUAAAGGGUCCGUAGGUGGAAUUGUAAGUCAGUGGUGAAAUCUUUCGGCUUAACCGGAAAACUGCCAUUGAUACUGCAGUUCUUGAGUAUGCUCGAAGUAGGCGGAAUAUGUCAUGUAGCGGUGAAAUGCAUAGAUAUGACAUAGAACACCAAUAGCGAAGGCAGCUUACUAGAUCAUAACUGACACUGAGGGACGAAAGCGUGGGGAGCGAACAGGAUUAGAUACCCUGGUAGUCCACGCCGUAAACGAUGAUCACUCGUUGUUGGCAAUACACCGUCAGCGACUGAGCGAAAGCAUUAAGUGAUCCACCUGGGGAGUACGUCGGCAACGAUGAAACUCAAAGGAAUUGACGGGGGCCCGCACAAGCGGAGGAACAUGUGGCUUAAUUCGAUGAUACGCGAGGAACCUUACCUGGGUUUAAAUGUAGAACGACUUUCGCCGAAAUCCUUUUUCCUUCGGGACUAUUUACAAGGUGCUGCAUGGUUGUCGUCAGCUCGUGCCGUGAGGUGUCGGGUUAAGUCCCAUAACGAGCGCAACCCCUAUCGUUAGUUUCCAGCGGGUCAUGCCGGGGACUCUAGCGAGACUGCCACCGUAAGGUGAGAGGAAGGUGGGGAUGACGUCAAAUCAGCACGGCCCUUAUGUCCAGGGCUACACACGUGUUACAAUGGCAGGUACAAAGGGCACCUACACAGCGAGGUGAUGCUAAUCUUCUAAAGCCUGUCCCAGUUCGCAUUGGAGUCUGCAACCCGACUCCAUGAAGUUGGAUUCGCUAGUAAUCGGAUAUCAGCAAUGAUCCGGUGAAUACGUUCCCGGGCCUUGUACACACCGCCCGUCAAACCAUGGAAGCUGGGG
Molecule: ribosomal RNA, 1373 nt
Filed under: uncultured prokaryote
Description: partial 16S ribosomal RNA
Rfam family: Bacterial small subunit ribosomal RNA
Source: RNAcentral